RNAcentral lists this non-coding RNA (32 nucleotides) under Rattus norvegicus (Norway rat). Lineage: Eukaryota; Metazoa; Chordata; Mammalia; Rodentia; Muridae. The record is from RNAcentral.
AUGUCACUCAGUAAGUGCUAGCUAUUAUCAAU